RNAcentral lists this ribosomal RNA (547 nucleotides) under uncultured bacterium. RNAcentral's name for it is "bacterial SSU rRNA". It matches the Rfam family "Bacterial small subunit ribosomal RNA", at positions 355 to 896 of the family's 1533-position model. The record is from RNAcentral.
UGGGGAAUAUUGCGCAAUGGGGGGAACCCUGACGCAGCCAUGCCGCGUGAAUGAAGAAGGCCUUAGGGUUGUAAAGUUCUUUCGGUAUUGAGGAAGGUUGAUGUGUUAAUAGCACAUCAAAUUGACGUUAAAUACAGAAGAAGCACCGGCUAACUCCGUGCCAGCAGCCGCGGUAAUACGGAGGGUGCGAGCGUUAAUCGGAAUAACUGGGCGUAAAGGGCACGCAGGCGGUUAUUUAAGUGAGGUGUGAAAGCCCCGGGCUUAACCUGGGAAUUGCAUUUCAGACUGGGUAACUAGAGUACUUUAGGGAGGGGUAGAAUUCCACGUGUAGCGGUGAAAUGCGUAGAGAUGUGGAGGAAUACCGGAGGCGAAGGCAGCCCCUUGGGAAUGUACUGACGCUCAUGUGCGAAAGCGUGGGGAGCAAACAGGAUUAGAUACCCUGGUAGUCCACGCUGUAAACGCUGUCGGUUUGGGGGUUGGGGUUUAACUCUGGCGCCCGUAGCUAACGUGAUAAAUCGACCGCCUGGGGAGUACGGCCGCAAGGNUA